RNAcentral lists this long non-coding RNA (329 nucleotides) under Brassica napus (rape). RNAcentral describes it as "long non-coding RNA (BNAP_LNC013645)". Lineage: Eukaryota; Viridiplantae; Streptophyta; Magnoliopsida; Brassicales; Brassicaceae. The record is from RNAcentral.
UCAUAAGAUAGUACAAUAUACCCCGACGGUCCCGAACGAGGAGUAAAUAAGAUUUGCUUUAGCUACGUGUUGUUUAACUAUUGGUUAAGAGUCUGUUUCGCUAUAAAAAAUAACAUAAUAUCCAUUUCCGGAUAGUUACGGAUAUUCGACGGCAGUGGAGGUCAGAGGCGUAAUUUACCUAUUAGCAGUUACUGACACGUCUCCGUAAAAAAGAUUUACCACCACGCUGAGAUGAAAACGACAACAUUGUCAAUUAAAAUUUUAAAAAGAUUAAACGGUAAGAAAUAAUUACCACGUGACGUGGCAUUUACAGUGCCUAGUCAGCUUUC